UCCGGCAUUACCCGCUGGCAACUAAGGGCGAGGGUUGCGCUCGUUGCGGGACUUAACCCAACAUCUCACGACACGAGCUGACGACUGCCAUGCAGCACCUGUGCGGGCUCCGAGGAGCACCGUAUCUCUACGGCUUUUCCCUACAUGUCAAACCCAGGUAAGGUUCUUCGCGUUGCCUCGAAUUAAGCAACAUGCUCCGCCGCUUGUGCGGGCCCCCGUCAAUUCCUUUGAGUUUCAUUCUUGCGAACGUACUCCCCAGGCGGGAUACUUAACGCGUUAGCUACAGCAUUGCACGGGUCGAUACGCACAGCGCCUAGUAUCCAUCGUUUACGGCUAGGACUA
This 342-nucleotide unclassified non-coding RNA is filed under the name uncultured bacterium. Its description in RNAcentral is "contains 16S-23S intergenic spacer region". The record is from RNAcentral.